AUACGGAGGACGCGAGCGUUAUCCGGAUUCAUUGGGUUUAAAGGGUGCGCAGGCGGCCGUGCAAGUCAGCGGUGAAAGCCCGGGGCCCAACCCCGGAAGUGCCGUUGAUACUGCAUGGCUUGAAUGCGGUCGAGGCGGGCGGAACGUGGCGGGUAGCGGUGAAAUGCGUAGAUAUGCCACAGAACGCCGAUAGCGGAGGCAGCUCGCCAGGCCUGCAUUGACGCUCGGGCACGAAAGCGUGGGGAUCGAACAGGAUUAGAUACCCUGGUAGUCCACGCCGUAAACGAUGGGCGCUCGUCGUCGGCGGCAGACAGUCGGCGGCCAAGCGAAAGCGAUAAGCGCCCCACCUGGGGAGUACGGUCGCAAGGCUGAAACUCAAAUGAAUUGACGGGG
This 393-nucleotide ribosomal RNA is filed under the name uncultured bacterium. Its description in RNAcentral is "partial 16S ribosomal RNA". It matches the Rfam family "Bacterial small subunit ribosomal RNA", at positions 523 to 918 of the family's 1533-position model. The record is from RNAcentral.